CCCGGCCUUGAUCAAGCACUCAAUCCUAUGCCUUAACCUAUUACAAUCUUCAGUAUCAUGCCCCUGAACUCCAGAGUGGAAAGCACACCGCUUUCUUUCAUCGAACCAUUUAGGUAAUGGGUUAGGAAUCUUCCCCAGGUCGAUUUACAAUAAAUUUACAGCUCUCAGUUUCUCAAACAAAAGUGUCAAUGGUUAAACAAACUGAGUAUGACUUCGAUUGCGCUUGC
Molecule: long non-coding RNA, 227 nt
Filed under: Capsicum annuum
Lineage: Eukaryota; Viridiplantae; Streptophyta; Magnoliopsida; Solanales; Solanaceae
Description: long non-coding RNA (CANN_LNC009719)
Source: RNAcentral